Molecule: ribosomal RNA, 649 nt
Filed under: uncultured bacterium
Lineage: Bacteria
Description: bacterial SSU rRNA
Rfam family: Bacterial small subunit ribosomal RNA
Source: RNAcentral
CAGGCCUAACACAUGCAAGUCGAACGCUGAAGCUUGGUGCUUGCACUGGGUGGAUGAGUGGCGAACGGGUGAGUAUCACGUGAGUAACCUGCCCCUGACUUCGGGAUAAGCCUGGGAAACUGGGUCUAAUACCGGAUAUGACCAUCUUUCGCAUGUUGGGUGGUGGAAAGUUUUUCGGUUGGGGAUGGGCUCGCGGCCUAUCAGUUUGUUGGUGGGGUAAUGGCCUACCAAGACGACGACGGGUAGCCGGCCUGAGAGGGCGACCGGCCACACUGGGACUGAGACUCGGCCCAGACUCCUACGGGAGGCAGCAGUGGGGAAUAUUGCACAAUGGGGGAAACCCUGAUGCAGCGACGCCGCGUGGGGGAUGACGGCCUUCGGGUUGUAAACCUCUUUCAGUAGGGAAGAAGCCUUUGGGUGACGGUACCUGCAGAAGAAGUACCGGCUAACUACGUGCCAGCAGCCGCGGUAAUACGUAGGGUACAAGCGUUGUCCGGAAUUAUUGGGCGUAAAGAGCUCGUAGGUGGUUUGUCGCGUCUGCUGUGGAAUCGUGCCGCUUAACGGUGCGCGUGCAGUGGGUACGGGCAGACUGGAGUGCAGUAGGGGAGUCUGGAAUUCCUGGUGUAGCGGUGAAAUGCGCAGAUAUCAG